UAAUAAAUAGACUAUAUAAUAUAAUAAUUAUUAGUAAAAAAACCUAUAAACUAUGGAUGAAAAUGAGUCAAAUCCAUAGUCUAUCAACUUCCCCAGACUUACUAUUUUGCUUGACCUCAAGCAAAACAAACAUACAGUCUCUCUCAAAGAGGUUUUAAAACAGCAGGGAGUCACAUGAUUUAAAACUUAGAAUCAUCACCUCUACAAUAUUGCAAUCCACAUCUAAGAAAUCCUAAUCACAAAAGCACAUUAUACCAUAUCCUAGC
Molecule: long non-coding RNA, 266 nt
Filed under: Brassica napus (rape)
Lineage: Eukaryota; Viridiplantae; Streptophyta; Magnoliopsida; Brassicales; Brassicaceae
Description: long non-coding RNA (BNAP_LNC023134)
Source: RNAcentral